Molecule: ribosomal RNA, 485 nt
Filed under: uncultured bacterium
Lineage: Bacteria
Description: bacterial SSU rRNA
Rfam family: Bacterial small subunit ribosomal RNA
Source: RNAcentral
AGAGUUUGAUCAUGGCUCAGAGUGAACGCUGGCGGCGUGCUUAACACAUGCAAGUCGAACGAGAACGGCUCUAGCUUGCUAGAGUGUCAGCUAAGUGGCGCACGGGUGAGUAAUAUAUAGUUAACCUGCCUCAAAGAAAAGAAUAAUUGUUGGAAACGACUUGUAAUGCUCUAUAUGCCUUUAUUACAUAAGUAAGCAAGGGAAACAUUUAUGGCUUUGAGAUGGGACUGUACGGUAUCAGAUAGUUGGUGAGGUAAUGGCUCACCAAGUCAAUGACGCCUAACUGGUUUGAGAGGAUGAUCAGUCACACUGGAACUGAGACACGGUCCAGACUCCUACGGGAGGCAGCAGUGGGGAAUAUUGCACAAUGGAGGAAACUCUGAUGCAGCAACGCCGCGUGGAGGAUGACACAUUUCGGUGCGUAAACUCCUUUUAUAUGAGAAGAUAAUGACGGUAUCAUAUGAAUAAGCACCGGCUAACUUCGU